RNAcentral lists this transfer RNA (74 nucleotides) under Acidobacteriota bacterium. RNAcentral describes it as "Acidobacteria bacterium (bioreactor metagenome) tRNA-Thr". It matches the Rfam family "tRNA". From Rfam's summary of the family: Transfer RNA (tRNA) molecules are approximately 80 nucleotides in length. The record is from RNAcentral. Lineage: Bacteria; Pseudomonadati; Acidobacteriota.
GUCCGCAUAGCUCAGUUGGUGGCAGCACUCGCGUGGUAAGCGAGAGGUCGUCGGUUCGAUUCCGGCUGCGGGCC